Molecule: non-coding RNA, 233 nt
Organism: Biomphalaria pfeifferi
Lineage: Eukaryota; Metazoa; Mollusca; Gastropoda; Planorbidae
Source: the annotation of a GenBank genome assembly
AAUUGUCACCAGUUGCAGGAGUCUUUCCAUCUGGACAACAUCCAAAUGUUGAUUUCUGACAUGUUACAUUUUCACAUCCUCUAAGAUCAAUGCCCUGAGAAGGAGUUUUACCAUCUAGGCAGCAGCCAAACGUGGUUUCUAAGCAAUCGAAAGGCGAUGGGGAGUUUAUAAUGCAUUCUUGUUUAUUUGGAUUGGUGGCAGGAGUCUUGCCAUCUGGACAGCAGCCAAACCUU